GGGCUGUUCCAUAAAAGCAGCUUAGAAAAGCGGGGAUUAAAGUCCAAAACCUGACUUGAAUGAGCCGAGCUAAACAUCCGCGCUUAAAUUGGUUCCAUAACAGUAAGUUGAGGAUCAUGUGAUUUUACUAAUUUGAGUCAGGUUUAAAUAGUCUAGAUAAUUGCGCGUGCACGCCAUUGUUUAAAAGUCCUGAAAAGUCGAGCAUGGGUCAAUCGAUUUACUGUGGGCUACCAUGGCAACAAAAGGAAAAGAUAGAGCAGCGAUGUUCACGGCAACGGAACAGCGUUUGCUAUUGGAAUCAUAUGAAGAAUUUAAAGAUGUCAUCACCAAAAAAGGCAAUACAGCGGCAAUAAUAAAGCAAGAGAGAAAGGUUGGCAGGAAAUUGCUGAUCGUCUCAAUGCCAGCAACUUAAGUGAAGGAAAAAGAACCUGGCAGCAGGUGAAAAUAAAAUAUAAAAAUAUAGUUCAGAAUGCGACCAAAAAGAAGACUGAGGUUGCUGGCACUGGGGGAGGGCCACCACCAGCCAGCUUCAC
Molecule: long non-coding RNA, 533 nt
Organism: Carassius auratus (goldfish)
Lineage: Eukaryota; Metazoa; Chordata; Actinopteri; Cypriniformes; Cyprinidae
Exons: 3
Source: RefSeq, a predicted model, not a curated record